RNAcentral lists this unclassified non-coding RNA (330 nucleotides) under soil metagenome. RNAcentral's name for it is "partial contains 5.8S ribosomal RNA, internal transcribed spacer 2, and large subunit ribosomal RNA". The stretch from base 1 to 120 matches the Rfam family "5.8S ribosomal RNA", at positions 35 to 154 of the family's 154-position model. The record is from RNAcentral.
GAUGAAGAACGUAGCGAAAUGCGAUAAGUAGUGUGAAUUGCAGAAUUCAGUGAAUCAUCGAAUCUUUGAACGCACAUUGCGCCCUUUGGUAUUCCUUAGGGCAUGCCUGUUCGAGCGUCAUUUAACACCUUCAAGCUCCGCUUGGUGUUGGGCGUCUGUCUGCUCACGCGGACUCGCCUCAAAAUCAUUGGCGGCCGGUACAUUGGCUUCGAGCGCAGCAGAAACGCGAACUCGAGGACGGUGGAUCAGCUCCCAGAAGCAAACCCCCCAAUUUUGACCUCGGAUCAGGUAGGGAUACCCGCUGAACUUAAGCAUAUCAAUAGCGGAGGA